Molecule: long non-coding RNA, 623 nt
Organism: Leptonychotes weddellii (Weddell seal)
Lineage: Eukaryota; Metazoa; Chordata; Mammalia; Carnivora; Phocidae
Source: RefSeq, a predicted model, not a curated record
CAUUUUGUCUGAGCGGUGGUGGUCGCAGCUCUAUCGCAUUUUUAUGUUUCUGGCGAGAGGAGAGCCGAGGCUUCAUCCCAUAGAUUCAUUUUAGUGCGGCACCUAUCCGCCGUUCACUCCAGGACAGCACCUAGUGAAGGUCGGAGGAGUCGCGGACUUGUCAAAAAGGUCGGUUGGAAGCUGUGGUUGUCCGAGUGACUGGGGGAUGGCGCAGCUUUAGCGGCACCGGCACCGGAAGUGGACGGGCCGCGCGGCGGCCAUGGCAAAUUGGUCUGAAGAAAACAAGACUUUCAGUGACAUAUCCUAAGUAUUACUGAGAAUAAACCUCAUUUUGUGGGAAAAUGAAGGAAUAUGUUCCAGUUUUAAAAGACCUGGAUCUGCAAUUGAAAAUUGUAUUUCUGGUCCCUUUAUGAAUGAUGGAAAUAGAAGCAAAUGGAUAGGCUUAUCAGAUAAGUGCUUUAAUAGUCUAAAUAUAUUUUAUUAUUUGUAAUCUCUAAACCAAAACUUUGUUCUUUAAAACAUUUUUUAUUUCUCUUUUUAGGUAAUACCAAGAAGGUUUACAGUAAUAAGGUACUGGAUUUUUUUUUUUUUUUUAAGAUUUUUAUGUACUUGAGAGAGGCUAG